Molecule: non-coding RNA, 110 nt
Organism: Acanthosepion pharaonis
Lineage: Eukaryota; Metazoa; Mollusca; Cephalopoda; Sepiida; Sepiidae
Source: the annotation of a GenBank genome assembly
CAGCCAUAUCACGUUGAAACACCAGUUCUCGUAUGAUCAGCGAAGUUAAGCAAUGUCAUGCCUGGUUAGUACUUUGAUGGUUGGCAGCUUGGAGAUAAAAGUGCUGUAAG